This 207-nucleotide ribosomal RNA is filed under the name Goniomonas pacifica. Its description in RNAcentral is "partial Eukaryotic small subunit ribosomal RNA". It matches the Rfam family "Eukaryotic small subunit ribosomal RNA", at positions 1472 to 1678 of the family's 1831-position model. The record is from RNAcentral. Lineage: Eukaryota; Cryptophyceae; Goniomonadida; Goniomonadaceae.
CUUAGAUGUUCUGGGCCGCACGCGCGCUACACUGACAGAGCCAGCGAGUACACCACCUUGGCCGAAAGGUCUGGGUAAUCUUGUUAAACUCUGUCGUGCUGGGGAUAGAGCAUUGCAAUUAUUGCUCUUCAACGAGGAAUGCCUAGUAAGCGCAAGUCAUCAGCUUGCGUUGAUUACGUCCCUGCCCUUUGUACACACCGCCCGUCG